RNAcentral lists this long non-coding RNA (207 nucleotides) under Elaeis guineensis (African oil palm). RNAcentral's name for it is "long non-coding RNA (EGUI_LNC071303)". Lineage: Eukaryota; Viridiplantae; Streptophyta; Magnoliopsida; Arecales; Arecaceae. The record is from RNAcentral.
UCUAGGGGAUAUAACUUCUAUCUUGCUAAAAAACAAAAGUUGUUCGAUUUUUCUUUCAGAAAAAGAGUACCUUGGUGAAGAUACUGAUGCCUUUAAUGUGAAGCUUAUGAAGUUCCACAAGUAGAUGAACCAAUAUAAUUUAGUGAACCCAUAGAAUUGAAUUUGAUUAGAUCAAACCCGUAAUCUAUUGUAGAGGCAUCAUUAAGG